Acomys russatus (golden spiny mouse) is the source of this 1059-nucleotide non-coding RNA. The record is from the annotation of a RefSeq genome assembly. Lineage: Eukaryota; Metazoa; Chordata; Mammalia; Rodentia; Muridae.
AUGAGAAUUAGGCUUAUCUCUGCUGUGCUGCUAUGUUUCCUGGGAGCAGGCCUUGUGGACAUGAAAGUAACCCAGACACCAAGGUACCUGAUCAAAAGAAUGGGAGAGAACGUUUUGCUGGAAUGUACCCAGGAUAUGAACCAUGAACGCAUGUACUGGUAUCGACAAGACCCCGGUCUGGGGCUACGGCUGAUCCAUUUUUCAUAUGAUGUUGAUAGUAACAGUGAAGGAGACAUCCCUGAAGGAUACAGAGUCUCUCGGGAGAAGCGAGAGGAUUUCUCCCUGAUUCUGGACUCUGCUGAAGCCAAGCAGACAUCUGUGUACUUCUGUGCCAGCACUGCCCCUGCCCAGUAUUUUGGAGACGGGACUCGACUUUCUGUUCUAGAGGAUCUUAGCAAGGUGAGCCCACCCAAGGUCACCUUGUUUGAGCCAUCAAAAGCAGAGAUCACAGACAAACAAAAGGCUACCCUCGUGUGCUUGGCCAGAGGCUUCUACCCGGACCACGUGGAGCUGAGCUGGUGGGUGAACGGGAACGAGGUCCACAAUGGGGUCAGCACAGACCCUCAGCCCUACAAGAACAACUUGACCUACAGCCUGAGCAGCCGCCUGAGGGUCUCUGCGACCUUCUGGCACAAUCCUCGCAACCACUUCCGCUGUCUAGUGCAGUUCUAUGGACUUACAGAGGAAGAUCAGUGGACAGGGGACUCACCCAAACCUGUCACACAGAACAUCAGUGCAGAGGCUUGGGGCCAAGCAGAUUGUGGCAUUACCUCAGCAUCCUAUCAACAGGGGGUCCUGUCUGCCACCAUCCUUUAUGAGAUCCUGCUAGGGAAGGCCACCCUGUAUGCUGUGUUUGUCAGUGCCCUGGUGCUGAUGGCCAGGGUCAAAAGAAAGAAUUCCUGAAGGUGAAUCCAAGAAUGUCGAACCUAAUUAUGGUGGUAGUACAGAUUCUCUUUUCCCUCCACUUCUGAAGCUCUGUUCUCACUUCUCCGAGCAUCCCAAAGUCAGCCUGCCAAUUAUGUAUACUUUCACAUGUACGUCUGAAACCCUUGUGACCUG